This 4317-nucleotide long non-coding RNA is filed under the name Homo sapiens (human). RNAcentral describes it as "non-protein coding LINC01956:12". Lineage: Eukaryota; Metazoa; Chordata; Mammalia; Primates; Hominidae. The record is from RNAcentral.
ACUUCCGGUCAGCGCAGCCCAGGCCGCAGGAGGGUACGGCCCUGGACCCCCUCUCUCCAGUGGGGGCUGGAGAUGGGAGCGCAACUGGGGCUCCGCCGAGGUCUCUGAGGGCACUUCACCCCCGCCCCCGACCCCAGGAACUGCGAAACCCCAAAUCUUCUUGCCCACCGCGGGGCGCAGGUCCUGCCCACCCGCUCUCCAGGGACGCGCGCAGAAAGGCAGUCCCGGCCGCCUCCCCGCGCCAGGGUCCGGGCAAGCGUCUGAAAGCUGUGCUUGGGCCGCAGCUCCAGCCAUCGCCCCUCACCCCCGGUUCUCCCGGGCCACGUUCAUUGCACAGUUUCGAUUUGUUUAGGCCGGGGUCUCCUCUUCUUUCCUCAACAUCUUUUUCUGUGGGCUCCCCGCCUCCGUAUUCCUCCUCAUCCUCUGCUCCAAGGUUUCCGUUUUUUGCACCGGAGGCCGCCCUUCUGCGACCAGCCUUCUCCGGCCGCUCGGACUCGGCCUCUGCAGCGGGGUGCACCCGGGCGUCCCUUCGGCUCCCGGCCCUCCCUCUCUCCUCGUCGCCCAGCCCUGCCUCCAACUUUGCGCCCCCGGCUGCCCCGCGCCGCGGCUCAACUGGACAUCCGAACGCUCCGACUGUCCGCUCCCCUCCCCUCCCCCGGCCGACACGUGGGGACCAGCGCUGACCUUGGGUGAGGCCACGCUGUCCCCCGCUGCUCUCCAGUCACCCCUGUAUCCCUUUGACUCUUGGGCUUCCGAGUAGGGGCUCCCGGAGUAUUACCAGGGAAAAGGGGAGCGCCCUUCCCCUGGUAAUGAGAGUAGCCACGCAAUGUCGGCUGCGCAAACUGGGCCUCAGAGCGGCCAGGCCAGGGUCAAACCAGGAAGAGGGGGAGGGGUGGACAGCAAGGCUGAAGAGACCUGACUUUAUUUGUGUUGCUUCAACUGGUCCUGAAUGGUUACACGAGGCGCGCGCUCUUGCACACACACCGCGGGCAGCCCAAACCCUCGCUGGCUCGGCCCGCCGGCUCCUCGCCCUGCCAGUCCUGAGCCGGCUCUGAGCCACUGGAGUCAGAGGGCCCGGGCGCCUGCCUUCUCGGUGCGGGCUGGGGAGGACCUGCUCGCGAAGGGCUGCCAACUGAACUUUUCCUGCACCAGGUGAGCCCCUUCUGAAAUCCUCGCUGCGGGAUACUUUUUUUUUUUUUGAGGGGGCGAGAGGAAGUUGCAGAGCAGCUCCGGCCCCACCACCUCUUUCCGCAAUAAAGCCACCAUCCUCAGGGCGCAGAGAUUUGUUCUCCUCCUCUCCUUUCUUGGAGCUGUGUGGCCAGUUCUCUUACCCAGGCAAAGCUGAGGUUUCCUGCUCGGGUUCACUGUUUACUUAGGAUUUCUCUAAAACUAGCGGCGCCAACUUGCCCUCCCUCUGCGCCUUCCCUGGCGGCCCCCACCCAGGCCUGGAGGAACUUCCAGAAGGAUUGAGCUCUGGCCUUCACCCCGGGCCUCUUAACUUCAGGUCCGCCCAAGUGCCCUCCUCUCAGCAGGCGGAGGCUCACAGCUCUGUCGGGAGUAGGGAGGGCUGACCGCAUUGUGGUGCAAAGUGACAAGUCGAGUGUUGACUUGGGGACUGCGAUGACCGGCCACCAGGAAGGGAACCAGGUAUGCUCUGGGGUCCCGGGCGGCGCCCUGGCAGCGGACGUUCCCGCAGGUAGUGCGCGACUUUUGCCCCAGGAAGAAGUCGCUGCUGCCUGCAGGGUGGCCUUGGAGAGGCUCGGGCCUCCAUUGAGACUGCUCACUUCCUUUUCUCCGGGACCACGGCUCUUCAGCUUUUUCCGCCCUAGGCUCCCGCGCCUCCUCAGUUCCCCAUGGGAGAGUUAUUUGAAGGCUCCCCGGAGAUGGGAUUUGGCCCACCAAUCCUAGCAAGUCAAGGCCCGCCCGGCUAGGCGCAGAGAGGCGGCCUCCCUCCCGCUACCCCGGGUGGGGUAGGGACCCCCUUUCCCCAGAGACCCUCUAGCACCUGAGUGUUGAUGAUCAUUACUUUAAAUUAAAAGUCUCUUUUCUCCUUUCCGUCUAAGCCUCAACUUAGUUUCAGAGAAUGAAGCGUGAAAGCUCUUUUAUGGAGAUUACCGAUGCUUCAUUUAUUCCCGCGAAUGGCAAACACAGCCCGGGAAAAACCGAGCGAGCGAGCUCCUUGUCUCGGAUCCUCGGCCGUCUCCGUGUUCACAAGCUCACUUGGCUGUGAGACGCCGUCGGGGAAAGCCCCUGCGUGGCUUCCCUGGGGAAGGGAAUUGCGCGUUCGCUAGUGCCGCAGUCCGCGAGCAUCCCUGGGCGAGACAGCGGUCUAGCCUCAGAGGCCCCGCCUGGAGAGCUGAGACACUGGGGGCUAGGGAAAGUGGUGGGCGUUCAGGGUGUCAGCCCUGAAGAUCCCUGAGGUUCUGUGCUUAUGUGAGUGUGACGAUCCUGGUUAUCCUCACUCCAAACCCACCCUUCCACUCCCUAUUUUCAGUGGAAUCCAGGGGAACUUGGGGCACAUUACACAGGGAGAGCCAGGAGCCCCAUGUACCAUAUCCUGGAUCUCAUUCACGUUCCCAUCCAACCUUACACCAGCCCCUGUAACCUUUUCCGUGCUUGGCCAAGAGGCUGUGUCCAUAGUAAGCACUUUGGUGAGGCUGUUUUAUAUUUGCAUGUCUGCCAAAUACAGCCCCUAAGAGCAGGCAACACGCCCCUAGAAAGGGUGGGUCAUUUUGGAAACAGAUCCAGAGCCGUUGAAACUCUGGAAUACAAAACUCACCUUGUGAUCUGGCGGUUGUCUCCUCCGCGAUCAGGGAUGCUUUGACUAUUUCACAAGGGGCAGUUGGAAGGAAGUGAUAAUAGCCUCCGGCAGGAAACACAACAGAGGGUUUUUAUUCUUUUUAGACAGAACAGAGAAGUUUGAAGAAGGAAAAGUAUAAGCUCCUAAAAGAGAAUUUCCAGAGUUCAGGCUUAAAUUCCUUUGUGACACUGUGUUAUUAACUCCAACGCAGUGGCGUCUCCACAUUCCGGCCAUCCCACUCUGGGAGCCCCUGUAACACAAAAGCUAUUGCUGGGGGUGGGGGGAGGUAGCCAGGAGGGGCCACCAGCCUCCCUUCUUCCCACCUUAGCCAAUGCACAGGUUGCAGGGAGAGUGCCAGCGCUGCUUUUGUUUAAAGGGGCUUGCUCUAAGACACAUCUUACAGACACGAGUAUGUGAGUUUCCCUGGGGGGUCAACACGGACCAGGCUAAAAGUGAUAUAGUCUCCCUUAUUAUACAGCCAAUGACUUGUCUAUAGCAUGCAAGGAAGUAGGGCCCUUUUGGUUGCCCUGUCUGCCCUUAAUGGGUAAUGACAGUUUCACCAUAAAGGUCCUCAGUGGCUAAGAGGGAUAGGGUAAGUGGUUUUUUUGAGAGCAAGAUCACCCCACAGAGCCUGGGGAGGUCCCACUGGCGCUAUAAGGGAAGGUGAGGCUAGCCGAGGUGGGGGCGGUGCAACAUGAAGUCUAUUUGAACACACAGCACUAAGUUGGGAAGGGCGGAGAGAGAGCUUGCUGUUGACUGAACAGUUGCCAACUUUCAUUAAUUACUCAGUCAUUUUAUUGUGAAAGCAAAUACCAAAAUGCUCUCAUGCCCAUUCUGAAUUAAUGGCCUGCAAAAUUAGAUGAGGAGGGGGCCAAAGGGUGAGUUGAGGUGUUCAGAGGAGUAUUCAGCCCUUCUUUCAAACCUAGAAAGUGCCCCCCACCAAAUGUCUGAGGUGCUGGUCAGGGAGUUGAAAACCUAAGGCAAAAGCUAUUCCUUAGUGAACAGAGGUUGGAUUCUAAUGAUGACAAACAUCAGAAGGAAACCUUCCUUGGGUUCUCAUUAAUUAUUCAAUCAUGCAACCUGGCUUAAACCAAGUGCCUGCGAUGUUCUUGGUACUGGGGUGGGCCCCCGUGGGAUGGACACCUGAUGUUCCAGGAGCCCAUGCCCCCAGAUAUUCAUUUGAACCGAAUGAAUUUCUGAAGUCUAUGCCUGGGUGUUUGGAAUAUGUCAGAACCCAUCUUUUAACUUCCAUAAUGUCAAGGCAAUUCCUGUGGGACCAUUUUUAUUGGUUAACUUAGUUGAAUUUAUAAUCUGUGAAAUAGAAAACAAAGUCAGGUUUAGGUGCACAUAACUUAGUUUAUUAUGUCAGAAGUUUCAGGAAAAAAAAACUUUAUUCCUUGCUUCCAGCGUAUGCCAUCUGUUUACAUAGCAAAAUGAAACCACAGGUUUGUAGAAUUUAGAGAUGAUAGUUGCUUUUCCUUGAUACUUUCCCUCCUCAUCCUUGUGUUUCUUCUCAG